UACUAGCCUACGACGGGUACGGGUUGUGAGAGCAAGAGCCCGGAGAUGGAUUCUGAGACACGAAUCCAGGCCCUACGGGGUGCAGCAGGCGCGAAAACUUUACAAUGCGGGAAACCGUGAUAAGGGAAUCUCGAGUGCCAGCAUAUAAUGUUGGCUGUCCAGAUGCCUAAAAAGCAUCUGUUAGCAAGGGCCGGGCAAGACCGGUGCCAGCCGCCGCGGUAACACCGGCGGCCCGAGUGGUAACCGCUUUUAUUGGGUCUAAAGGGUCUGUAGCCGGCCAAGUAAGUCCCUUGGGAAAUCUGGCAGCUUAACUGUCAGGCUGCUAGGGGAUACUGCUAGGCUUGGGACCGGGAGAGGUGAGAGGUACCUUGGGGGUAGGGGUGAAAUCUUGUGAUCCUCGGGGGACCACCAGUGGCGAAGGCGUCUCACCAGAACGGGUCCGACGGUAAGGGACGAAAGCUAGGGGCACGAACCGGAUUAGAUACCCGGGUAGUCCUAGCCGUAAACGAUGCUCGCUAGGUGUCAGUCACGGUGCGACCGUGAUUGGUGCCGUAGGGAAGCCGUGAAGCGAGC
RNAcentral lists this ribosomal RNA (573 nucleotides) under uncultured archaeon. Its description in RNAcentral is "bacterial SSU rRNA". It matches the Rfam family "Archaeal small subunit ribosomal RNA", at positions 251 to 824 of the family's 1478-position model. The record is from RNAcentral.